This 435-nucleotide ribosomal RNA is filed under the name uncultured bacterium. RNAcentral describes it as "partial 16S ribosomal RNA". It matches the Rfam family "Bacterial small subunit ribosomal RNA", at positions 28 to 507 of the family's 1533-position model. The record is from RNAcentral.
GAUGAACGCGGUGGGUACCCUUAACACACCUACCUCAAACGGCCUCUCCGACGUAAGUGGCGGACGGGUGAGUAUCGCGUGAGAAUCUGGCUUUGGCUCCGGGACAACAACUGGAAACGGUGGCUAAUACCGGCUGUGCCGAGGGGUAAAAUAGAAAUUGCCUGAAGUUGAGCUCGCGUCUGAUUAGCUAGUUGGUGAGGUAAAGGCUCACCAAGCCAGCGAUCAGUAGCUGGUCUGAGAGGAUGACCAGCCACACUGGGACUGAGACACGACCCAGACCCCUACGGGAGGCAGCAGUGGGGAAUUUUCCGCAAUGGGCGAAAGCCUGACGGGGCAAUACCGCGUGAGGGAAGAAGGCUCUUGGGUUGUAAACCUCUUUUCUUAGGGAAGAACAAAAUGACGGUACCUAAGGAAUCAGCAUGGGCUAACUCCGUG